RNAcentral lists this ribosomal RNA (484 nucleotides) under uncultured soil bacterium. RNAcentral's name for it is "bacterial SSU rRNA". It matches the Rfam family "Bacterial small subunit ribosomal RNA", at positions 26 to 518 of the family's 1533-position model. The record is from RNAcentral.
AGGACGAACGCUGGCGGCGUGCUUAACACAUGCAAGUCGAGCGGUAAGGCCCUUUCGGGGGUACACGAGCGGCGGACGGGUGAGUAACACGUGAGCAAUCUGCCCUUCACUUCGGGAUAAGCCUCGGAAACGGGGUCUAAUACCGGAUAUGACCGCGCUACGCAUGUGGUGUGGUGGAAAGUUCUGGCGGUGGAGGAUGAGCUCGCGGCCUAUCAGCUUGUUGGUGGGGUAAUGGCCUACCAAGGCUUCGACGGGUAGCCGGCCUGAGAGGGUGACCGGCCACGACUGGGACUGAGACACGGCCCAGACUCCUACGGGAGCAGCAGUGGGGAAUAGUUGGACAAGUGGGCGAAAGCCUGGAUCCAGCCACCGGCCGCGUGAGGGAUGACGGCCGUUCGGGUUACGUAAACCUCUUCAGCGCCGACGAAGCGAGAGUGGACGUAGGCGCAGAAGAGCACCGGCAACUACGCGACCGAGCAGCCGA